Molecule: ribosomal RNA, 323 nt
Filed under: uncultured bacterium
Lineage: Bacteria
Description: bacterial SSU rRNA
Rfam family: Bacterial small subunit ribosomal RNA
Source: RNAcentral
AUUGAACGCUGGCGGCAUGCCUUACACAUGCAAGUCGAACGGCAGCACGGGAGCAAUCCUGGUGGCGAGUGGCGAACGGGUGAGUAAUAUAUCGGAACGUGCCCGGUCGUGGGGAUAACGUAGCGAAAGCUACGCUAAUACCGCAUACGAUCUACGGAUGAAAGCGGGGGAUCGCAAGACCUCGCGCGAUUGGAGCGGCCGAUAUCAGAUUAGGUAGUUGGUGAGGUAAAGGCUCACCAAGCCGACGAUCUGUAGCUGGUUUGAGAGAACGACCAGCCACACUGGGACUGAGACACGGCCCAGACUCCUACGGAGGCAGCAGU